Long non-coding RNA from Cavia porcellus (domestic guinea pig), 777 nucleotides. RefSeq lists it as uncharacterized. Lineage: Eukaryota; Metazoa; Chordata; Mammalia; Rodentia; Caviidae. The transcript is spliced from 2 exons. The record is from RefSeq and is a predicted model, not a curated record.
AGCGGGAGGCGACUCCAGGUGUGCCCCCCACACCAGGCGCGAGGCGCAGGGCUCGGGUUACAGUCACUGCUGCCACCUCUUCCAAGAGGCUGGCUUUUGAGAAAUCUGCGGGCUCUGGAAGCACGCUGUGUGCUUGCUGGGGAGCCGGGGGCUACGCCUCUGCGUACAGCGUGUCCCCGCUCUGUCCUCACGCAGGCGUCAGGUGCCGCUGAGGUCAGCGGAGCCCGGGCCGCCCGCGCCUGCGGUCAGCACAGCUGUCCCCACCGCCGCCUGGGUGCACAGGCGCCAGCCAGCAGGCCCGGCCUACGUGCGCUCUUCCCUCUGACGUCGGCUGGUCACUGGUCAUUUGCUGCUGUGUGACCCUCGGGAACUCACUUGGCCUCUGGGGAUCGGCGUCUCACUGCAAAGCAGGGCGACACUGGAGCAGGAAGUCGUCUGCCUUCUCUGCCUGCUGGCUGCACGCACGGCUGAACACACUGCGUGGCCGAGCAGCAGGGGAUGUGGAGGGAGCUCUUGCAGCCCUCCCGUGGGCUUGGGUAUUGCUCCAGAGAUAAACAAGCAAACGAACAAAUGACUGUGAUUCCAGCACUUGGGAGGCUGAGACAGGAGGAUCACCACCAGUUUGAGGCCAGCCUAGGCUACAUAUUGGUAGCCUUUCCCACCCCACCCUCAACAAAAGAAAUGAAAAUUGAAAAUGGUACAACGACGUGAAUGAACUUAAUGUCACCAAACUGUGCGCUAUGAAAAUGGCUAAAAUAAACCAGGUAUGGUAGCUCA